UUUUAGAAAAAAAGAAAAGCAAAGAAAAGAAAAAGUAGCAUUUAGUUGCUUCGGCCUUUCUGCUUUUAUUCACAACUUCCAAAAUAAUGAACUUAGUUUAAUUUCACCAAACACCUUAAACACAAACAAUUAUAAAAUAAGAUGUUUUUUUCUUAAGCAAAACAGCCUUAAACCAGUACUAAAUGUAAUAUAUUGCAAUCCUCCUACCAAGCUCCGAAACAAGAACGGAUCAGCAAGAGGUUCUCCUGAGUUUUGCUUCUGGAAGAAGAGGAGUUGCACAAGGUUUUCACACGGUCAUACCAGCUUUCGACAAUAUCCGGCCAUCAGCACAAAAAUUACAAACAAACUGCAAAUUUAAACAAGCGAUAGCCGAGGUCAGUGAAGCAGUGGAAGAAAAACGGAAAACAAAAAGUAAUUUUAGUUGUCCUAUAUGGCAUUUAAAAAUAGUUCAAUUGUAACAAAUCCUAAGCAGUUCAUCCUGUUCACUGUUUGUAUGCUUAAUCUGCAGAUAAUCAUCGAAGAGUAUUCUAGGUUGGAUACUGGCUGUUAAAUGCCAUUAAUUCUAAAAUUCUAAAGUUACAGUUGAUAAUCAUCAAGAAAUUAGAUAGAAUUUAGUCCUGAAAAGGAUAGAAAGAAAACAACAAAUAAUAAAACACACAAUUACCUAAUGCAUGUUGAAUAUGAUGAUCAAAGUAUUAAGGAGCGUAACAAGAAAACUUGACUACUUGACAAUAGUCACUAACAUCAGUUGUACAAAACGAGUUGGAACAAAAAAAGCCAUAUGAGGGGCUAAUGCCCAUCAUAGUUAGUAGUAUACGGAACGGGUAUAGUACGUGAAUACACUAACGUGUAUUUUUGUGCAACUAAAGUCAAUUGCAACUGAAAGCUAGUACGGGUAUUGGGACAAGGACAGAAUACGCAUACCAGCCUCCAAGGAUUGAGCAGCAGCCGUUGUCAUCAUCUACUUGGCGUGAAGGAGGUGGGGUUGGGGGAGCUG
RNAcentral lists this long non-coding RNA (997 nucleotides) under Malus domestica (apple). Its description in RNAcentral is "long non-coding RNA (MDOM_LNC017320)". Lineage: Eukaryota; Viridiplantae; Streptophyta; Magnoliopsida; Rosales; Rosaceae. The record is from RNAcentral.